GAAAUAGCUUAAUUUGGUAGAGCACUACGUUCGGGACGUAGAGGUUGCAGGUUCAAAUCCUGUUUUCC
This 68-nucleotide transfer RNA is filed under the name chicken gut metagenome. It matches the Rfam family "tRNA". Rfam says of the family: Transfer RNA (tRNA) molecules are approximately 80 nucleotides in length. Their secondary structure includes four short double-helical elements and three loops (D, anti-codon, and T loops). The record is from RNAcentral.